CUGGAACAGCUGCUUUUACAGCUCCUGGAAACUAACGAGGACAGCUUUGGCGCAUUUUCAGGGGUCAACAGUAAUUUAAAGGAAGCAGUUCAGGCAGGCACCAUUUUCUUUUAUUACUGAGUGAAGUUUUUUUUUUUUUUCAAAUACUUAUUGAGGUGAUGUGAGAAUUAGAAAACAGUGACUCACUGAUGAAGAAAUGAAAAUUAAUAGAAUCUUAAGAAAGCCAGAGUUAUUGGUAUCUACUCUUGAUUUAUUGCCUCAGUAGGAUGAAGAUUAGAUUCAUCCUCGGGGUGAAAGAUGCGACCGGGAAGCGGCAUUCUUCUCUAACUGAACACGCCUUUUUUCAGUGUCAACUUUUUUAUUUCAAAGGAAAGACUCCCCCAUAUGGUAAAUUAAGGCAGCUAUGAAGAAGAGCUGUUCUGCUGAGAGCUUUCUUCAGGGAUCCUGCAAUCACAUAGCAUAGACUGUGGCUGUUAAACUUGGUAAUGUGAAUUCCAAAGUUCCACAAGUGGUCCAGGGAAC
This 522-nucleotide long non-coding RNA is filed under the name Fukomys damarensis (Damara mole-rat). RNAcentral describes it as "lncRNA (ENSFDAG00000024178.1)". Lineage: Eukaryota; Metazoa; Chordata; Mammalia; Rodentia; Bathyergidae. The record is from RNAcentral.